Trachemys scripta elegans is the source of this 703-nucleotide long non-coding RNA. RefSeq lists it as uncharacterized. The record is from RefSeq and is a predicted model, not a curated record. The transcript is spliced from 2 exons. Lineage: Eukaryota; Metazoa; Chordata; Testudines; Emydidae.
UGUUCUCAGAGCAGCGCCCGAAGCGGAUCUGCGCAUCCAGGCGCAGGAUCGGGGGCCCGGGAUCGGGGUCAGGCCCGGGCGCCCGCCGCAGAGGGGACCCAUCCGGCCUAGGCCGGGCACGUACGACCAGCCUGUCCCGCCCCGCCCGGGGCUGCACGGAGCGCGGGGACCCCCUUCCCGCGCAGCUCGGCGGCAGGCCCCGCGCUCCCUAAGCCAGCUCCCAUUCCAGGGAGCCGAGAUGGGAACUGGGCUCCAUCCAGGCCCGCCCCACUGAGGACCCUCGCCCCGGACCUCCCCGCGGCGCCUCUCGCCCAGCCAGGCCUGGUCUCGCCACGCCCAGUCCGAUGGGGGGGUCCGCGUUCGCUCCUCGAGUGCGAUCUCCCCGCUGCGCCCCCGCCCAGGUCCCCUCAACGGAGCGGCCGCCGCCCGGGCCCGGCACACAAAAUGGCGGCGGCUCUUUGUUCAGCGCCGACGGGGCCUGACGCCUCCAUCCGCCCCAACGCGGAGCCCGGCCCCAGUUCAGCCAGGCCCUGGUCCCCAGGCUGAUCCCCCGUUGGAGACUGACUGGGAGAUAAAGAAAGUAACCCCUUCAACUUCGGAUCCUUAGCCCAAGAGAAUGUGCUACAGAAGAAGUGCAUCCGAAGAAGUGAGGUUUUUACUCACGAAAGCUUAUGCCCAAAUAAAUCUGUUAGUCUUUAAGGUG